Molecule: long non-coding RNA, 1024 nt
Filed under: Fukomys damarensis (Damara mole-rat)
Lineage: Eukaryota; Metazoa; Chordata; Mammalia; Rodentia; Bathyergidae
Description: lncRNA (ENSFDAG00000026001.1)
Source: RNAcentral
CUCAUGUGCCCUGGGGGACACUCUUUAUCUCCCAUGAAGCCUAGCAAAAUUGGUCAACCAUGUCUGACCAUGGACAUCCAAAGUUUCCUGCUCUACAGUCAUAAAUACCAAGUCUCACAGCUAAGACACUGACCUUGUAGCCAGAGUGACCCUACAAGGGGUAGACUCAGCAGAAACUGGGACAGACACCCCUGUAAUCAGAGAGGGAGACCGCUUACUCUGGUUUUCAGUUAAACUCAAACCGACUGGUACCACAGUGAACUCGUGGUCAGCUCCAGCGUGAGCUGGCAAUCUGUUGUGUGUUCAUUUCACACAUCACGCUCCUGUACUUCCUCCUGGGAAAAAGCCCAUGCUGCUCAGCUCACUGAUUCCUUAGUCCACUCUGCUGCUUCCUACUCACAGGCAUGCUAAAGCAUACGUCUUAAGCAACGAACCCCUCCACAGAGUGGCUCCUCACUACGGUGAGUGCAGCCAAUACCAGCCUUCCAUGCCGUCACAGUGGAGGAGACGCUGCUCACGUCAUGGCAGCGGGGCAGCGGAGAUCCGAGAGAGGAGCCGGGAGGGGAGAUGUACCCUCCCGGACACACACAGCAACCCGCUUGCUAACAAGGACGUCUAGAAUGCACUCAUUAUCCGAUCAUCUUGAGUGAUCUGGGCCACUUUAGAUCCGAACCAUAACAGUACUAGGCACUUCCCUGUCUUGAUUUAUGCAGCGUCUUUCACAGCAGAAGCAAGACUGAGCCUUGAAGGAAAACUAGAAGAAGAUACACAUAAUAAUGGAUCCCCCAGAGAUGCUCAUGUCGUUAUGCUGAGUGAAAGAGCCAGACACCAGAAGAGAAGUAGUUCGUGUGUCUACUUGCUUGAAAUGUCUGAGAGUCAAGUUCUCAAAUGCAGAUGUGGAAGAGAAGUUACCAAGAGCUGGGGAGGGGAAUAUGGAGCUAGAGCCUAAUGGGCACAGACUUUCUCUUUGGGGUGAGGAAAAAGCUUGGAAACAGAAAGAGGUGAUUGUUAUACAAUGUUGUGA